Molecule: long non-coding RNA, 685 nt
Filed under: Pan troglodytes (chimpanzee)
Lineage: Eukaryota; Metazoa; Chordata; Mammalia; Primates; Hominidae
Description: long non-coding RNA NONPTRT004557
Source: RNAcentral
GUGCGGGAGAGACCUUAGCUCCUUGCAUCAUGUCUCCCAAUUCCUCUGAUUUCAGCCUCAGCUGAUGGACAGAUUGUUUAAGAUUGAAGAGCCCAUUCAUGCUUCACGGAGGGAAACGAGAUUUUUUUCAUACAACCUCAGUGAAGGAGACGAUGAACACGGGCUGCUACUGGAGGUAUUACUCCAGGACUUCUGGCUUUACUUGCAUAUAGGGCACGUGGACUUCAUAAUGUUGGAGAAUGUUCUUGGCAGAAAGUAGAAAGAGGUAUGGAGCAUGCUUGAGGUCCUUCUUAUUGGCAGGAAUGUUUUGACAUUAGCUGUUUCAGAAGGGGAAAGGUUGCAUGAUAAACUGAACUUGGAAAAGCAUCCUCUUUGAUUUUCACAAUGAGAUAUGCUUGUACACACAUGAUGCUACAAGAACAGAUUUGUAGCAGCAUUACAAAUAAUGUUUUAAUUACAAGUAAUGCAUUAAUUAUUCCACAGACCUUGGUGCCACUGUUCUCAAGCCUCUGUGAAAGUACUGCCCAUUCCCUCUGCCUCCUUGCUAUAAUUGCCUACAAUAAUCUGCAAUCAAUCUCCCCUUUGUUCAAAUUAUCUGAUUUCAGUAUAUCCUAAAAAUGCUAGGAAAAAAGAUAAAUAUCACCAUAGAUCUCAUUCCAUAUUUAUAUAUGCUGUUGGCAUGCCC